GAUCCUGGCUCAGGAUGAACGCUGGCGGCGUGCUUAACACAUGCAAGUCGAGCGAAGCGCUUAAGUUUGAUUCUUCGGAUGAAGACUUUUGUGACUGAGCGGCGGACGGGUGAGUAACGCGUGGGUAACCUGCCUCAUACAGGGGGAGUAACAGUUAGAAAUGACUGCUAAUACCGCAUAAGACCACGGUACCGCAUGGUACAGUGGUAAAAACUCCGGUGGUAUGAGAUGGACCCGCGU
This 240-nucleotide ribosomal RNA is filed under the name uncultured bacterium. RNAcentral's name for it is "partial 16S ribosomal RNA". It matches the Rfam family "Bacterial small subunit ribosomal RNA", at positions 15 to 236 of the family's 1533-position model. The record is from RNAcentral.